AUGUUCGAACAAUGUCUAGAGGAGAUGGAAUUAGUCUCUAAUUCACUCUACCCCAUUCAACCUUCUGCUCCAGCUCGGCAGGCGGGGAAAGGUCACAACAGGUGUCCUGUGCCGUCCCCUUUUAAGAGUGCUUGGCUGUGUUCCAUGGUUACCCAAGUGAAUGCCACGCACCAUUUCAACUCUUUGAACAAACACUGCAGGUCUUUUUCUUUACAGCUUUUGUCCAGUUCCCCUGUCCAACCAGGGUCAGAGCAGGGCAGUAAGUGUCCCGAGUGGCCACUAUUUUUCACACUAAGGAACUUUGUGCCUGGUGGUCCUGGUUUGAACAUACAGUCCUGGUUGAACGUGAAGUGGAUUUACUUGCAGGCAGCAUGCAGCGUGAGUGUCGGAGGUCAGCUCUCUCCCACUGCCCCUCUGGCGAGGUUGCAGCGGCCAGACUCCCGUACUGAUACACCCGAUCUCUUGGAGCAACCAUCCAUAAUCUGAAGAACUUGGGGAAGAGGCCAAAAACCUGUCAGCAUUACACUGUGGGUCAGGCUGUGGUACUGAGGACACUGUGGGGAACAAACUGAGAGAGUGUAACAGAGUAAACAAGAUAUUUAUCUAACCUUUGAGAUUAAGAACAAGAUUUGAGUAAGAUUUUUGGUUUUACAUUCUGCAUCUUAGAUUUAUGUCUGGUGAAGUCUAAAGUCUCUUCUAAAGUCCCUGCAACUCCAGAAAUUAAAAUAUGGUCUUACGUAUAUGGGAAAGCAACUAAGUUUGCGUCACCAUUUUUAUAACGUAUAAAGAAAAAUAACAGUGAAGGAAAUUAUAGGUUUAAUUCUGGUUGCAAAGUCAUUUUGAAGAACUUGCAAAUAACAUUUUAAAAUAUGCAGUUGCACACAUUCACUCUUAUUGGUAUGCUCAAUAUAUUUAAAAUGCAAAACAUUUCAUGUCUUCUCACAUUCAGUUAGGAAUUACAUGAAUCACUUAAAUGAUACCAUAUUUUCUAGGGCUGGGUUUUGACACAAAUUUCAUGAUUCAAUUUUAAAUCACAAGCUUUCAAUUCGAUUAUUCUGGAUAUAGGCUAUAGUACAUGCCAAAUUUUCUCAAGGAAAAACAAAUCUCUUGAGUAGUGCUGCUAGGUCUACAUGGGAGUCAGUUGGAACUACAUUAUUAUAAUACUGAAGGUUAAAAUCUAAAUUAUUUUUUUGUUUUAUUAUUUGUGUGUGUGUGUAUGUGUGUCACAAAAUGUGUAUGUUUGGAUACGCACAUUGAAAUGGUGGCUGUCAUAAAAACUUGACAGAUUUAUUCAAGCAUAAAUUAAACAUUGAAGAGCAGAUUAUAAUGAAUGUGUUAUAUGGGUCAUUCAUAUUUAGUCAAAUCCUCUCUAAAGUAAUUUUUUCUAGCUGAUUAACUAUAUGUUUGUUUCUGAGGUAAAUGUGAUAUUACCUUACAUUGUUUACAAGCUGUUAGGCUUUAUCUUUCCGUGGUUGAAACACUAAUUGAGCGAAUACACAAGACUUUUGUAAGUUAUACUCUUUCUUUUAAAUUUCCUUCGGAUGUUUAUUAAUUUCUUUCGUAAUGAAACUGGUAUAUGAAAGCAGAGGAGAUGUUUCGCCAAAGUCCCUGCCGCUUCUUUUGAACUGAUCUAUCGUUAAACAGCACCAAAAUGUCAUAAUAAGUACUGUAAUAAAAUGUACAGAAUUUUAAAUCCAAGACUUUUUUUCAUAUCAAAAGUAACAAAGUGCAAAUGAUUGCAAUUUAUUGGUUGGACUUUGUGCACCAGUGUUCCCGGUUCUUUUAACCUUUAUCAUUGUAGUUGAUUGUUUCUGUUUAAAAGUCC
This 1825-nucleotide long non-coding RNA is filed under the name Carassius auratus (goldfish). RNAcentral describes it as "lncRNA (ENSCARG00000068336.1)". Lineage: Eukaryota; Metazoa; Chordata; Actinopteri; Cypriniformes; Cyprinidae. The record is from RNAcentral.